GCCCCCGUGGCGGAACUGGUAGACGCGCAUGGUUUAGGACCAUGUCUCGAAAGAGGUAGGGGUUCAAAUCCUCUCGGGGGCA
RNAcentral lists this transfer RNA (82 nucleotides) under Candidatus Colwelliibacteriota bacterium. Its description in RNAcentral is "tRNA-Leu". It matches the Rfam family "tRNA". Rfam says of the family: Transfer RNA (tRNA) molecules are approximately 80 nucleotides in length. Their secondary structure includes four short double-helical elements and three loops (D, anti-codon, and T loops). Lineage: Bacteria; Candidatus Colwelliibacteriota. The record is from RNAcentral.